CUACGGGCCGCUCCAGUGGGGAAUAUUGCACAAUGGGCGCAAGCCUGAUGCAGCCAUGCCGCGUGUAUGAAGAAGGCCUUCGGGUUGUAAAGUACUUUCAGCGGGGAGGAAGGGAGUAAAGUUAAUACCUUUGCUCAUUGACGUUACCCGCAGAAGAAGCACCGGCCAACUCCAUGCCAGCAGCCGCGGUAAUACGGAGGGUGCAAGCGUUAAUCGGAAUUACUGGGCGUAAAGCGCACGCAGGCGGUUUGUUAAGUCAGAUGUGAAAUCCCCGGGCUCAACCUGGGAACUGCAUCUGAUACUGGCAAGCUUGAGUCUCGUAGAGGGGGGUAGAAUUCCAGGUGUAGCGGUGAAAUGCGUAGAGAUCUGGAGGAAUACCGGUGGCGAAGGCGGCCCCCUGGACGAAGACUGACGCUCAGGUGCGAAAGCGUGGGGAGCAAACAGGAUUAGAUACCCGAGUAGUC
RNAcentral lists this ribosomal RNA (464 nucleotides) under uncultured bacterium. Its description in RNAcentral is "partial 16S ribosomal RNA". It matches the Rfam family "Bacterial small subunit ribosomal RNA", at positions 339 to 795 of the family's 1533-position model. The record is from RNAcentral.